UCCACUUCGUCCAGUUACCGUCUUACUCGUCCUAGCUGUCUCUUAGCUUGUAUAAGGUUAAGUCUAAGUUUCCUUAUGUCCUUAACCUUCUUUCUCGACCAUGGAACGCUUGCCUUGAUGUCCUAAGACUGGCUUGCACGUUUCCUCGAACCAUGGCCGUCCCGACAAUCCUAUUCAGGAUUGGGGGCGUGACAAGUAUCCCCCCCUUGGGAUGGAUUCUUCCUCGAAUCCGAAUCAAAUGCUUCCUCGGAAACAAACUGAUCCAACCACUCGGGGUACUCUGCUUUCAUUCAAGCUUCGGUUUCCCAAGUGAUUAUAUCCUGACCAUUACAGUCCCAGACGACCUUGACCAUCUGGACCGUCUUCUUCCUUCUUGCUUUUUCCAUCCUAUCUAUGAUUCGAACUGGCCUCGUUUCCAAGGUUAGGUUCUUAGCAAGAUCGUCUGGAACGGGAGGAAGAGCGAUGUCUUGGUCCGUCAGACAUUUCCGAAGUUGGGAGACGUGGAACACAUUAUGAAAUGCGUCCAUCUUGGCCGGCAUGUAGAAACCCGUUAAUAAAAAAAAAAUAAAAAAAAUAAAAAAGAAAAGGAGAGAUAAUGGUCGAGAAGUUUUGAAGUACGAAGUGGGCGAAGAAGUGAUCGUGAGUUAACUAUGAGUCGAAUAAGUUGCUCGACCAUAGUUAGAAGAUGUCUUAGAUUGAUGGGACGGACGUUUUCGAAGCAUAACAUUUUUGGAAGCACGACGGUUUAGAAGCUCGACGUUUUGGAAGAAUGACGUUUCUUCAGCACGAAGUUUUCCGCAAAACUUCGUAUCAGCGGAAUAAUAUUUCGAAGACAUUGGAAACCUGAUGAGAAUUAAGCACGACAGGAAGCAAGCACGACGGGAAGCAAGCACGACGGAAUCGAAGCACGACGGGAAACCCCAAAAUUGGACGAAAACCCUAAUUUAGUUAUUAUGAAAUUUUUCGAGGAAGCCGGAGGCUCAGGACAUAUUUUCCCUCAACUUCAGAGAUCAAGUGGACUUUAUUAAAAUUGUUCUGAGCAUCAGAAAGGGUGUAGAAAAAUAUUUGGGAUUGAUCGCGGGACGAAAAUU
Molecule: long non-coding RNA, 1091 nt
Filed under: Brassica rapa (field mustard)
Lineage: Eukaryota; Viridiplantae; Streptophyta; Magnoliopsida; Brassicales; Brassicaceae
Description: long non-coding RNA (BRAP_LNC008529)
Source: RNAcentral